AUUGAACGCUGGCGGCAUGCUUUACACAUGCAAGUCGGACGGCAGCACAGAGACGCUUGCUUCUUGGGUGGCGAGUGGCGCACGGGUGAGUAAUAUAUCUGAACGUACCGAGUUAUGGGGGAUAACUAAUCGAAAGAUUUGCUAAUACCGCAUAUUCUCUGUGGAGGAAAGCAGGGGACCUUUGGGCCUUGCGUUAUUCGAGCGGCCGCUAUCUGAUUAGCUAGUUGGUGGGGUAAAGGCCCACCAAGGCGACGAUCAGUAGCGGGUCUGAGAGGAUGAUCCGCCACACUGGAACUGAGACACGGCCCAGACUCCUACGGGAGGCAGCAGUGGGGAAUUUUGGACAAUGGGCGCAAGCCUGAUCCAGCCAUGCCGCGUGGCUGAAGAAGGCCUUCGGGUUGUAAAGGACUUUUGUCAGGGAAGAAAAGGCUGUUGCUAAUAUCGACAGCUGAUGACGGUACCUAAAGAAUAAGCACCGGCUAACUACGUG
Molecule: ribosomal RNA, 490 nt
Filed under: uncultured bacterium
Lineage: Bacteria
Description: partial 16S ribosomal RNA
Rfam family: Bacterial small subunit ribosomal RNA
Source: RNAcentral